UCGAUUGAGUUUGAUCAUGGCUCAGGACGAACGCUGGCGGCGCGCCUAAUACAUGCAAGUCGAACGGACUGCUUUCGGGCGGUCAGUGGCGGACGGGUGAGUAACACGUGGGUGACCUGCCUCCGAGUGGGGAAUAACGCUGCGAAAGCAGCGCUAAUACCGCAUACGCUCAGCAAUUCAAUUUGCUGAGUAAAGCCUAGCGCGCUUGGAGAGGGGCCUGCGCCCGAUUAGCUAGUCGGUGGGGUAAUGGCCUACCGAGGCGACAAUCGGUAGCUGGUCUGAGAGGAUGAUCAGCCACACUGGGACUGAGACACGGCCCAGACUCCUACGGGAGGCAGCAGUAAGGGAUCUUCCGCAAUGGUCGCAAGACUGACGGAGCGACGCCGCGUGCGCGACGAAGCCCUUCGGGGUGUAAAGCGCUUUUCCCAGCGACGAAACAAGACGGUAGCUGGGGAAUAAGCCUCGGCUAACUACGUGCCAGCAGCCGCGGUAAUACGUAGGAGGCAAGCGUUGUCCGGAAUCACUGGGCGUAAAGAGCGUGUAGGCGGAAGGGCAAGUCUGCUGUGAAAGCGCCUGGCUUAACCGGGCGAGGUCGGCGGAAACUGCCCGUCUAGAGGACGGUAGAGGGGGGUGGAAUUCCCGGUGUAGUGGUGAAAUGCGUAGAG
This 665-nucleotide ribosomal RNA is filed under the name uncultured bacterium. Its description in RNAcentral is "bacterial SSU rRNA". It matches the Rfam family "Bacterial small subunit ribosomal RNA", at positions 1 to 695 of the family's 1533-position model. The record is from RNAcentral.